CAUAAAGUUGGAGGCACAGAACAGAGGAACAGACAGAUGCGUUGUCCUGAUCUUUCUCCAAAACAGCUUUAGUCAUACUGGACAUGACUGUGUGAGUGAAUUGCAAUGUUUGUGGCAAAUAACAAAAUGCAUACUGUAUAACACAGUGGCAGGUAGCCUAGUGGUUAAGAGCAUUGGGACAGUAACAGAAAUGUUGCUGGUUUGAAUCCCCGAGCCGACUAGGUGAAAAAUCUGUCAAUGUUCCCUUGAGCAAGGCACUUAACCCUAAUUACUCCUGUAUGUCAUUCUAGAUAAGAAUGACUAAAAUGUAUGCAAAUCUGGACUGUGUUCAUUGGGGUCUAUAAUGGAAAAGCAAAAUUAGCUUUACCAUUAUAGUCCCUCCUUGUUUUAGUCCCUUUUCUUCUGCUUGGUGCCUAAUGAACACAACCCUACACAUGAGACUGUGUAGUAACGUGGCUCUGUUUCCAGAAUCAUAUCGUAAUCAUUUCGUAGAGGAAAACAUUGUGUAAUCAGAGACCGAACAUGAAGGGUGCCGGGUCCAGAAGUCUAUUCUCACAUCCCUCUAUCACAUGCAAUGGCACGAGCCAGCGGACAAUACAAGAAAACCAGGAAGUCAAACCAGGGAGGGAGAGACCACUCUGACACUGUGGGGGGGGGUCCUGAAUUAGGGACACACACAUACAUAUUCACAGACAUACAUAUUCAUGCAACACACAUACAUAUUCACAGACAUACAUAUUCAUGCAACACACAUACAUACACACAUACUUACAUAAUCAGCUCCUGGAUUCCCCUGAGGGAAACAGGAAGUGAGACGUACAGAGACAGCCGUGCACUGCAGGAAGUAGACCCUGUGACAUUCCAUCCCUGAACAGCUGUGAAAAGAGUCCUUUUUUCUCUCUCUCUUUGUCUUUUUCACUAUGUAUCUCUGUCUCACCCCCUCCCCCUCUCUCUCUCUCUCUCUCUCUCUCUCAAUUCAAUUUCAAUUCAAUUUAAGGGCUUCAUUGGCAUGGGCAACAUAUGUUUACAUUACCAAGGCAAGUGAAAUAGAUAAUAAACAAAAGUGAAACAAACAAUAAAAAAUGUAUAGUAAACAUUACACUUACAAAAGUAUCAAAAGAAUAAAGACAUUUCAAAUGUCAUAUUAUGUAUACAGUACCAGUCAAAAGUUUGGUCACACCUACUCAUUAAAACUCUUGAGGAUCGGGCCCUUUUUUUCAAUUAUCGCCUAAAAUGAAAUACCCAAAUCUUUCUGCCUGUAGCUCAGGACCUGAAACAAGGAUACGCAUAUUCCUGGUACCAUUUGAAAGGAAACACUUUGAAGUUUGUGGAAAUGUGAAAUGAAUGUAGGAGAAUAUGACACAUUAGAUCUGGUAAAAGAUAAUACAAACAAAAAAACAUUAGUUUUCUACUUUUUAUUUUUUUAUCAUCUUUGAAAUGCAAGAGAAAGGCCAUAAUAUAAUAUUGCAGUUUAUGGGCAAUUUAGAUUUUGGCCGCUAGAUGGCAGCAGUGUGUAUGCACAGUUUCAGAUUGAUCCAGUUGAAGCAUUGCAAUAUUGCACAGUAUUUUGGAUCAUGUCUGCCCAAAUGUGCCGAAUUGGUCAAUUGAUACAUUUUCAAGUACAUGUCAUACAUGAUGCAUCAUUAGCUUAUACACUAACUUUCACACAUCUAGAUGGCCGGGCGGGGUGGGUGUGGAGCCAGAGACAGCAGUGGGGUCAAACUGUAGACCCCAGUUCCUACAUUUGAAUAUAAAAAUAGAUUUUAUCAAACUAAACUACUCUACAUUUGAUCUCUGGGACCCUCAGGAUGACAAAUCAGAGCCAGAUUAUUGAAUGUAAUUACAUUAUUUACCUUCAGAGGUGAAUGUAUCAAACAAGUUGCCGCGAUUAAAGGUGGUUUGUUGUUUUUGCACUCUCCUCAAACAAAAGCAUGGUAUUUUGUCAAUGUAAUAGCUACUGUAAAUUGGACAGUGCAGUUAUUAGAUUAACAAUAAUUUAAGCUUUCUGCCCGUAUAAGACAUGUCUAUGUCCUGGAAAGUUUGCUGUUACUUACAACGUCAUUCUAGUCACAAUUGCUCAUGUUAGCAACAACCAUCCCGGUAUAGGGACACCGAUCCCGAGGGUUUUCUUUAUUUUUACUAUUUUCUACAUUGUAGAAUAAUAGUGAAGACGUCAAAACUAUGAAAUAACACAUAUGGAAUCAAUAUAUUUUAGAUUUUAGAUUCUUCAAAGUAGCCACCCUUUGCCUUGAUGACAACUUGCACACUAUUGGCAUUCUCUCAACCAGUUUCAGGUAGUCACCUGGAAUGCAUUUAAAUUAACAGGUGUGGGACAGGUUGGAGGGAGGGGUGUGUGUGUGGGUUUUUGUGAGAGAGAGAGAGCGAGACAGAGCAGGAAACCCUGCUCGGUGUGGCAGAGGAGAAUGGAAUGUUUAAAAAGAACACGCUUCGCCUGCAAACGUCCAGGAUGAGGGCGUUUGCUCGUCCCACUGUCUGUGUGUGGGGGAGGCUGUGACUCUCAUAUUGGCUUGCCCACUCAAAGAUACAUGAGGGGAAGCCUGACCAAAGUAACAAGGAAAUGAACUGUGUGUAUGUAGAGGUGAGCGAGAGAGAGGUGAGUGAGAGAGAGGUGAGUGAGCGAGAGGUGCGUGAGAGAGAGUGAGUGAGAGUGAGAGUGUGAGAGAUAUGCCUUCAGCUGCAUUUCCUCUGACACCUUGUUUCUAGGAAGGGGAAAAGGAAGAGAGGAGUUAAGGAGACGGGAAGGGACGCAAAGGCAGACUAGUAGGCUCCUUUAAAGAGUCUCCCACACAGUGUGUAACACCCACACACACUUCCUCCCAUCUACAGAGCGCCACUGUCUUUAAACCCACCCUCACUACAUCACACCCCACCCACACCAACAAGACCACCCACGUCACACCAAACACAACGGAUCAAUGCCUCUUGCUUUGUAUACAGGAGUACUACUAUUAAUAUAGUCUUACUAC
RNAcentral lists this long non-coding RNA (2987 nucleotides) under Salmo salar (Atlantic salmon). Its description in RNAcentral is "lncRNA (ENSSSAG00000092663.1)". Lineage: Eukaryota; Metazoa; Chordata; Actinopteri; Salmoniformes; Salmonidae. The record is from RNAcentral.